This 905-nucleotide ribosomal RNA is filed under the name Debaryomyces robertsiae. RNAcentral describes it as "LSU rRNA". It matches the Rfam family "Eukaryotic large subunit ribosomal RNA", at positions 38 to 964 of the family's 3401-position model. The record is from RNAcentral. Lineage: Eukaryota; Fungi; Ascomycota; Pichiomycetes; Serinales; Debaryomycetaceae.
GCAUAUCAAUAAGCGGAGGAAAAGAAACCAACAGGGAUUGCCUUAGUAACGGCGAGUGAAGCGGCAAAAGCUCAAAUUUGAAAUCUGGCGCCUUCGGUGUCCGAGUUGUAAUUUGAAGAAGGUAACUUUGGAGUUGGCUCUUGUCUAUGUUCCUUGGAACAGGACGUCACAGAGGGUGAGAAUCCCGUGCGAUGAGAUGCCCAAUUCUAUGUAAAGUGCUUUCGAAGAGUCGAGUUGUUUGGGAAUGCAGCUCUAAGUGGGUGGUAAAUUCCAUCUAAAGCUAAAUAUUGGCGAGAGACCGAUAGCGAACAAGUACAGUGAUGGAAAGAUGAAAAGAACUUUGAAAAGAGAGUGAAAAAGUACGUGAAAUUGUUGAAAGGGAAGGGCUUGAGAUCAGACUUGGUAUUUUGCGAUCCUUUCCUUCUUGGUUGGGUUCCUCGCAGCUUACUGGGCCAGCAUCGGUUUGGAUGGUAGGAUAAUGACUAAGGAAUGUGGCAUUGCUUCGGUGGUGUGUUAUAGCCUUGGUUGAUACUGCCUGUCUAGACCGAGGACUGCGUCUUUGACUAGGAUGUUGGCAUAAUGAUCUUAAGCCACCCGUCUUGAAACACGGACCAAGGAGUCUAACGUCUAUGCGAGUGUUUGGGUGUAAAACCCGUACGCGUAAUGAAAGUGAACGUAGGUGAGAGCUCUUAAGAGUGCAUCAUCGACCGAUCCUGAUGUCUUCGGAUGGAUUUGAGUAAGAGCAUAGCUGUUGGGACCCGAAAGAUGGUGAACUAUGCCUGAAUAGGGUGAAGCCAGAGGAAACUCUGGUGGAGGCUCGUAGCGGUUCUGACGUGCAAAUCGAUCGUCGAAUUUGGGUAUAGGGGCGAAAGACUAAUCGAACCAUCUAGUAGCUGGUUCUGCGA